Molecule: ribosomal RNA, 497 nt
Filed under: uncultured bacterium
Lineage: Bacteria
Description: partial 16S ribosomal RNA
Rfam family: Bacterial small subunit ribosomal RNA
Source: RNAcentral
GAUGAACGCUGGCGGCGUGCCUAAUACAUGCAAGUCGAGCGAACGGACGAGAAGCUUGCUUCUCUGAUGUUAGCGGCGGACGGGUGAGUAACACGUGGAUAACCUACCUAUAAGACUGGGAUAACUUCGGGAAACCGGAGCUAAUACCGGAUAAUAUUUUGAACCGCAUGGUUCAACAGUGAAAGACGGUCUUGCUGUCACUUAUAGAUGGUUCCGCGCUGCAUUAGCUAGUUGGUAAGGUAACGGCUUACCAAGGCAACGAUGCGUAGCCGACCUGAGAGGGUGAUCAGCCACACUGGAACUGAGACACGGUCCAGACUCCUACGGGAGGCAGCAGUAGGGAAUCUUCCGCAAUGGGCGAAAGCCUGACGGAGCAACGCCGCGUGAGUGAUGAAGGUCUUCGGAUCGUAAAACUCUGUUAUUAGGGAAGAACAUAUGUGCAAGUAACUGUGCACAUCUUGACGGUACCUAAUCAGAAAGCAACGGCUAACUACGUG